GGCGAGUGAAGCGGCAACAGCUCAAAUUUGAAAUCUGGCCCCAGGCCCGAGUUGUAAUUUGCAGAGGAUGCUUUUGGCGCGGUGCCUUCCGAGUUCCCUGGAACGGGACGCCAUAGAGGGUGAGAGCCCCGUACGGUUGGACACCAAGCCUUUGUAAAGCUCCUUCGACGAGUCGAGUAGUUUGGGAAUGCUGCUCAAAAUGGGAGGUAUAUUUCUUCUAAAGCUAAAUAUAGGCCAGAGACCGAUAGCGCACAAGUAGAGUGAUCGAAAGAUGAAAAGCACUUUGAAAAGAGGGUUAAACAGCACGUGAAAUUGUUAAAAGGGAAGCGCUUGUGACCAGACUUGCGUCCGGUGAAUCACCCAGCUCUCGCGGCUGGGGCACUUCGCCGGCACAGGCCAGCAUCAGCUUGCCGUCGGGGACAAAAGCUUCAGGAACGUAGCUCUCUUCGGGGAGUGUUAUAGCCUGUUGCAUAAUACCCUUCGGCGGGCUGAGGUACGCGCUCCGCAAGGAUGCUGGCGUAAUGGUCAUCAGCGACCCGUCUUGAAACACGGACCAAGGAGUCAACCUUAUGUGCGAGUGUUUGGGUGUUAAACCCCUACGCGUAAUGAAAGUGAACGCAGGUGAGAGCUUCGGCGCAUCAUCGACCGAUCCUGAUGUUCUCGGAUGGAUUUGAGUAAGAGCAUAUAGGGUUGGACCCGAAAGAAGGUGAACUAUGCGUGUGUAGGGUGAAGCCAGAGGAAACUCUGGUGGAGGCUCGCAGCGGUUCUGACGUGCAAAUCGAUCGUCAAACAUGCGCAU
This 799-nucleotide ribosomal RNA is filed under the name Colletotrichum destructivum. Its description in RNAcentral is "eukaryotic LSU rRNA". It matches the Rfam family "Eukaryotic large subunit ribosomal RNA", at positions 88 to 918 of the family's 3401-position model. Lineage: Eukaryota; Fungi; Ascomycota; Sordariomycetes; Glomerellales; Glomerellaceae. The record is from RNAcentral.